RNAcentral lists this unclassified non-coding RNA (730 nucleotides) under Hevea brasiliensis (rubber tree). Lineage: Eukaryota; Viridiplantae; Streptophyta; Magnoliopsida; Malpighiales; Euphorbiaceae. The record is from RNAcentral.
UUGUUGGAAAUAAAGUCGAUAUAGUAAGUUCUAAUUCUUUCUUCGUGAGUGUAUGUAUGCAUGAAAGACUAAAAUCACUUAAUGAAGAGUUCACCUGGAAUCCAAUUGAACUCUCUUUUAAUGAUCUUACUUUGGCAAUGUCCUACUGCACUGUAAUUGGUGCCCCAUAACUCUGCAUACUCUCUAGCAUUAUUGCCCCUAUUUUGGACUACGACAACUAGUGCUUGGAUAUUUGGAUGUCUAAUUUGUGGUUCCAUAUCCUGUCUGUAAUCACCAUGUGAACUCAAAAAUUUGGUAAUCGAGUCAUUCAGUAAUCAUUGGAAAUUACUAAGAAAUUUAGAAGGUUUACAAAUUUGAAUUUGUCUUAUGCAUCCUCUUUACUACUAGCUCUCCUGGGGAUGACAGAAAUUUAUUUUAUAUUCUACUCUGCUAAGUGCUAACUGAUCUUUGAUGUCUUCAUAUUGCAUCUUUGAUGUCUCUUUCUGGUAUAUUGAAUCAGUAACAGGCAUGAUAAUUUGCAUGUACAAAUGGAUAUUUGGAAAAAACUUCUUUCCCUAGCUGUUUUAGACACACAAAUUGUUAAGUUGCAAACUUGCUUGUUUUAUUUCUUCUAUUUUUUCCUCCUUUUUUUAAUGCCAUAAAAUUACUUGAGAAGGGAAAAGAAAAGAGUGAAAACUGACUCCUAAUUAUUCUUAUUUAAUGGCAUUCUUGUUCUAUUUGUGCAUGAUUU